GGCCCCCUGAGUUCCCCACAAGCUUCAGUCUAGGAGGAAUGGACAAGAUCCUGACAGCAUCAGUUUUAGUCCUAGGCCUUCACCUAGCUGGGGUGAGUGGCCAGCAGAAGGAGGGACGUGAGCAGCAGCAGGUGAGGCAAAGUCCCCAGUCUCUGACAGUCCGGGGAGGAGAGACCGCAAUUCUGAACUGCAGUUAUGAGGACAGCACUUUUAGCUACUUCCCAUGGUACCAGCAGUUCCCUGGGGAAGGCCCUGCACUCCUGACAGCCAUAAGAUCAGUAUCCAAUAAAAAGGAAGAUGGACGAUUCACAAUCUUCUUCAGUAAAAGUGAGAGAAAGCUCUCCUUGCACAUCGUAGACUCUCAGCUUGGAGACUCAGCCACCUACUUCUGUGCAGCAAGUGCACAGUGCUCUCCAGACACCUGCAGCCCAUACCCAAACCUGCAGCUGAGGCUCCAGCAGAGCCCUGCUGUGGGCUGAGCCUGGCAGAGAUGCAGGGGAGUUUUCAUUUGCAGGAUCAGAUGAAGGGGUCACAGGGAGUGUAGGAUUAGUUCACUGGGCCAGAGACAGACCAAGCUGGAGUCACAGCUUGCCUUCUCCAGUCUCCCUUUGCAGCUGGAGUUUUACAUCUAUUUCCCUAACUAGCUUAGAUGGACGGCUUUCCUGAGUGCUUGUACAAAUAGUUCUCUGUGCGGUUGGUUUGUGGCAA
Non-coding RNA from Apodemus sylvaticus (European woodmouse), 708 nucleotides. The record is from the annotation of a RefSeq genome assembly. Lineage: Eukaryota; Metazoa; Chordata; Mammalia; Rodentia; Muridae.